RNAcentral lists this unclassified non-coding RNA (350 nucleotides) under soil metagenome. RNAcentral's name for it is "partial contains 5.8S ribosomal RNA, internal transcribed spacer 2, and large subunit ribosomal RNA". The stretch from base 1 to 120 matches the Rfam family "5.8S ribosomal RNA", at positions 35 to 154 of the family's 154-position model. The record is from RNAcentral.
GAUGAAGAACGUAGCGAAAUGCGAUAAGUAAUGUGAAUUGCAGAAUUCAGUGAAUCAUCGAAUCUUUGAACGCACAUUGCGCCCGCCAGUAUUCUGGCGGGCAUGCCUGUUCGAGCGUCAUUUCAACCCUCAAGCCCAGCUUGGUGUUGGGGAUCGGCACAGGCGCCCUCGGGCGCCCGCCGUCCCCUAAAUCUAGUGGCGGUCCCGCUGCAGCCUCCUCUGCGUAGUAGUUUUCUCCUCGCAAGGGCAGCUCGGUGGCGACCUCGCCGUAAAACCCCCAACUUCUGAAAGGUUGACCUCGGAUCAGGUAGGAAUACCCGCUGAACUUAAGCAUAUCAAUAAGCGGAGGA